Molecule: long non-coding RNA, 3985 nt
Organism: Gorilla gorilla gorilla (western lowland gorilla)
Lineage: Eukaryota; Metazoa; Chordata; Mammalia; Primates; Hominidae
Exons: 2
Source: RefSeq, a predicted model, not a curated record
AAAAAAAGAAUUCUUAGUUUUGAUGAGUGGGAGAACUGAACUGUGCUGUGCCUACUCCAUCUUGGCCAGCACAAGAAGUCCCAAAACUUAAAAAAAUUUAUAAAAUUUAAACUUGAGGAGUAGUUUUGCUUUUGUUUAUAGGUAAUCAGGUGUUUGUUUGUAUGAGACGGAGUUUUGUUCUUGUUGCGCAGGCUGGAAUGCAAUGGCGCGAUCUCAGCUCACUGCAAACUCCGCCUCCCGAGUUCAAGUGAUUCUCCUGCCUCACCCUCCCAAGUAGCUGGGAUUACAGGCAUGUGCCACUAUGCCCAGCUAAUUUUGUAUUUUUAGUAGAGACAGGGUUUCUCCACAUUGGUCAGGCUGGUCUCGAACUCCCGACCUCAGGUGAUCCAUCUGCUUUGGCCUCCCAAAGUGCUGGGAUUACAGGCGUGAGCCACUGUGCCCAACCAGGUGUUCUUAAAUAUAAUUUUUUAUCUCCUUUCCUACCAAGAGGGGUUUUUAGAACUGUUUGCUUGGCAGGUGAAGAAUCUGCACGUUGUGGUUCUUUAUUACUGAAUGAGAAAAUACCAGACUUUACCUUAGCUUUAUUUGUUUCCCAGUUCAACGGAAUUUAACCUUAGAAUUUCCUAAAGAUGCUUUCUAAAAGUUUUUUAUUUCUCCAAGUGUCAUAGUACUGCAUUUAUGAAUCCCAAAUUGGCUUCCACUGUCUAUUUAAACUUGAUAUAAGAUACAGGAAGAUUAUUUUGUCACCACCCUCUUUCUAUUCCAAACACUAUUUACAUAAAGGAAACUUUAGUAAGAGAAGAUAUUUUGGAAAAGAUUUUGUAACCAACUUACACUUGUGUCUGUUUUUGUUUUUUUUUUUGGUUUAAAUUCAAGGGGAGGCCAAGCGUGAUGGCUCAUGCCUGUAAUCCUAACACUUCGGGAGGCCAACACGGGUGGACCGCUUGAGCUCAGGAGUUCCAGAGGAGCCUGGCAACAUGGUGAAACCCUGUCUCUACCAAAAAUACAAAAACAUUGCCCAGGUGAAGCCCAGGGAGCAAAAAGAGGGAGUUACCAGAUUAUUUCUACCUCCACGCCCUCCCUGCCUGUCAAGGACUGAGUCUCAGGAAGAUGCCAGCUCCAGUGCUUUCCCGCUCUUGCCGUCUCAGGCCACUCUGGCUGGCCCCUGGGUCCCUCAACAUCCCCUGUUGGUUCCUUUAGCCCAGCCCACACCGCUGGAAAUAGGCCCUUUAUGAGAUUCUCUUCUAAAUCCUAGAAGAGUGUACCCUCCAUUUCCUGAAAAAUCCUGACAAGUAUGUAAACAUUACUUAAUUAUUGUUAGGUAAAAAUACUAUAAAUAUUAAAUUUAUAAGUAAAUAAAAAUAUUUAAUUUUACAUAAGACAAAGCUAAAAAUUUCAGUUUACAAUUUUUAAACAUAGACAAUAAAUUUCCCAGAAAGAAAUUGCUGACUACCAACCAAAUUUUCAUUUUUAUUUUUUAAAUGUUGGAAAAAUUUUCCCAGAAAGAUUCUUAUCAACCAAUCAAAUUGUGUUAGCAGUUGUGUUAGUAGUCACAAGGAAAAUAAUCAGUCAUAUUAGUUUUCUUACUAUUGUUCAUAUUUUGUCUUUCAAAAAUAGGUGUAAUGUACAAAUACUUCUUAAUUAGAUAUGCUUAAAUAAAACAUUUCAUAUUGUAUUGAUUUGGGUAUAUUGUAGAAAAUAAAAAGUUCCUCUUCAAAGCUUCCCUUCUUGUUAAAGAAUAAAUCAUAAGUGUUAGAAUUAACAGUUUCUUUUAAAGACUAACUUUAUGCUAGACAUGCUCACAGGCACGUAGUACAUUCUACGUGCUCGUACUUUUACCAAGAUAUCUGUGCUAGACGUGCUCACAGGCAUGUCUCAGCUCGCAGCCUAUGCCCUUUCCUUAUUUGGGAAUGUUUAUUCCUUAUUUGGAAAUGUUAUUACUUUUCUAAGUCCUUUCGUAAGCAACUUCAUUUUUUUCCUUUGUUUUUCUAUUGCCUUUACCUGUUUAAAAAAGUUUUAAACUGUUAGCCAAUCGGGUUUUAGUUUAGAUUGUGAGGUCUGGCUCCAGCCAAUGGAGACAGGACACAGUAGCAGGGACAAACUGGGUAAGGGAUAAAAAUUGCUUCGCUCGGUUGUUCCGGGGUGCUCUCGCCAUUGUUCCAACUGCCAUAAACACCCUUUCUGCAGAAAGCAAAAAUGGCUUUGCUGAGAGAAUUAAAUUUAUGUUCGAGUGCUAUUUCUUUGUGGCACUGGGGAACAAGCAUUCUAUUUCUAAAUAAACAUUUUUACGUAUAACUACUGAAUAUAACCAUGGACUGUUUGCAAAUUAUAUUGGAAUCAUGUAGACACAGCUUUAAUAAUGGAUAAUAUAAAUAUUACUUUUUCUAGCCAAAAAUCAGGAGCAGACUAUGUAUACAAGUCUGGAAUGGAGGACUUUCCAUUCUAGAAGAAAGAGUGGUCAUUUUCAACUCUUCUUCCUUUUGAGACCUCACUAAAAUUAGAGGAACAGAAUUUAAAAAUACAUUACAUCUCCACGAUAAAGAGAACAGGAAAGGAAACAUCAACAGACAAGGGGAUUUGACAGAUAUUUUUGGAGGGAAGAAACGGUGGAGCAGAGGUAAUUAAGCCGAUUGGAGAGAGGCUGUCCUGCAGACCGAGUGAGACAAGGUCCUGGCACUGGAGAGGCUGCUGCCUGGAUCCCUCCCCCAGCACAUGAAAUCAGGAAAUCACCACUCCUCUUGCCCCAGGCCAGAGACUAGGUUUCUGUAGACAUGGAAGGUAGAGGCUGCGGACCUGGACCCCAGACACAGGUGAGAGGAGAGGCUUUGCGCUAAAGAGAGAGAGAGAGAGAAAAGGAGGUGGGGAAGAAGAAAGAAAGGAGGAAGAGAGAAGGCCAGGCGCGGUGGCUCACGCCUUGUAAUCCCAGCACUUUGGGAGGCCGAGGCAGGCGGAUCAUGAGGUCAGGAGAUCGAGACCAUCCUGGCUAACACGGUGAAACCCCGUCUCUACUAAAAACACAAAAAAUCAGCCGGGCGUGGUCGCGGGCGCCUGUAGUCCCAGCCACUCGGGAGGCUGAGGCAGGAGAACGGCGUGAACCCGGGAGGCAGAGCUUGCAGUGAGCCAAGAUCAGGCCACUGCACUCCAGCCUGGGUGACAGAGCGAAACAACGUCUCAAAAAAAAAAAAAGAAAGAAAGGAGGAAGAGAGAAAAGGAGUGUGGAAAGAAAAGAAAAUUUCAGGAGCUUCUACAUUGGUUAUGCCAGCAGAAACAGUUAAGCCAUGGAAACUGAGUCACAUACACGCUGUUUUUCUUCUCUGGUGCAUGACCUUUGCUUCUGACCUUUGUGUUGAGAUGUUAUGAAUUAACCACCCUUCCUAUUCUUCAUUCAAACCUCAACUAAAUGACAUUGGAGAUAGAGACCCUUACCUCUUUACGAUGGAUGUUAAGUAACUCCCAUAGAGUAUAGUCAAUGGUGGCCAGCCAACUUGUGUGUGUGUGUUUUAUAUCUUAUAUUAAAAAAAUGAAAAAAAAAGUUGUAAUUCUGGCUGGAUACGUGGCUCACAACUGCAAUCCUAGCACUUUGGGAGGCCAAGGUAGGCGGAUCACUUGAGGCCAGAAGUUCAAGACCAGCCUGGCCAACAGGGUAAAACUCUGUGUCUACUAAAAAUACAAAAAAUUAGCCAGGCGGGCAUGGUGGCGCACGCCUGUUAUCCCAGCUGCUCGGAUGACUGAGGCUUGAGAAUCCCUUGAACCUGGGAGGUGGAGUUUGCAGUGAGCCAAGAUCAUGCCACUGCCCUCCAGCCUGAGCAACAAAGCAAGACUUUGUCUCCAAAAAAAAAAGAGCAUGUUGUAAUUCUGUUCAGCACCCCUGUUUUUUGCUUAUAUGAAUGAUCUUCACCUUUCCCCGCACUGAGGAGUGAUGAUCACCAUUCUUUGGUGUCUGCUACCCUAACACUUGGCGCUUGAAUAAACUCUUUUAAGUGGA